AAGACCUUGCGCUUUUGGAGCGGCCGAUGUCUGAUUAGCUUGUUGGUGAGGUAAAAGCUUACUAAGGCUUCGAUCAGUAGCUGGUCUGAGAGGACGGCCAGCCACACUGGGACUGAGACACGGCCCAGACUCCUACGGGAGGCAGCAGUGGGGAAUUUUGGACAAUGGGGGCAACCCUGAUCCAGCCAUGCCGCGUGAGUGAAGAAGGCCUUCGGGUUGUAAAGCUCUUUCAGCCGGAACGAAACGGUUACGGUUAAUACCCGUGACUACUGACGGUACCGGAAGAAGAAGCACCGGCUAACUACGUGCCAGCAGCCGCGGUAAUACGUAGGGUGCAAGCGUUAAUCGGAAUUACUGGGCGUAAAGCGUGCGCAGGUGGUUUUGUAAGUCAGAUGUGAAAUCCCCGGGCUUAACCUGGGAACU
RNAcentral lists this ribosomal RNA (423 nucleotides) under uncultured bacterium. RNAcentral describes it as "bacterial SSU rRNA". It matches the Rfam family "Bacterial small subunit ribosomal RNA", at positions 207 to 622 of the family's 1533-position model. The record is from RNAcentral.